RNAcentral lists this ribosomal RNA (305 nucleotides) under uncultured bacterium. RNAcentral's name for it is "bacterial SSU rRNA". It matches the Rfam family "Bacterial small subunit ribosomal RNA", at positions 332 to 635 of the family's 1533-position model. The record is from RNAcentral.
GGCACCCUACGGGAGGCAGCAGUGAGGAAUAUUGGUCAAUGGGCGGGAGCCUGAACCAGCCAAGUCGCGUGAGGGAAGACGGUCCUAUGGAUUGUAAACCUCUUUAGGCGGGGAGCAAUGCCGGGCACGUAUGCCCGGAGGGAGAGUACCCGCAGAAUAAGCAUCGGCUAACUCCGUGCCAGCAGCCGCGGUAAUACGGAGGAUGCGAGCGUUAUCCGGAUUUAUUGGGUUUAAAGGGGGCGUAGGCGGAAUGCCAAGUCAGCGGUAAAAUCGCGGGGCUCAACCUCGCUCCGCCGUUGAAACUG